CCUACGGGAGGCAGCAGUGAGGAAUAUUGGUCAAUGGACGAGAGUCUGAACCAGCCAAGUAGCGUGAAGGAUGACUGCCCUAUGGGUUGUAAACUUCUUUUAUAAAGGAAUAAAACGAGGCACGUGUGCCUUUUUGCAUGUACUUUAUGAAUAAGGAUCGGCUAACUCCGUGCCAGCAGCCGCGGUAAUACGGAGGAUCCGAGCGUUAUCCGGAUUUAUUGGGUUUAAAGGGAGCGUAGAUGGGUUGUUAAGUCAGUUGUGAAAGUUUGCGGCUCAACCGUAAAAUUGCAAUUGAUACUGGCAGUCUUGAGUACAGUUGAGGUAGGCGGAAUUCGUGGUGUAGCCGUGAAAUGCUUAGAUAGCACGAAGAACCCAGAUUGCGAAGGCAGCUUACUAAACUGUGACUGACAUUGAUGCUCGAAAGUGUGGGUAUCAAACAGGAUUAGAUACCCGGGUAGUC
Molecule: ribosomal RNA, 460 nt
Filed under: uncultured bacterium
Lineage: Bacteria
Description: partial 16S ribosomal RNA
Rfam family: Bacterial small subunit ribosomal RNA
Source: RNAcentral